RNAcentral lists this ribosomal RNA (492 nucleotides) under uncultured bacterium. RNAcentral describes it as "partial 16S ribosomal RNA". It matches the Rfam family "Bacterial small subunit ribosomal RNA", at positions 29 to 507 of the family's 1533-position model. The record is from RNAcentral.
AGUGAACGCUGGCGGUAGGCCUAACACAUGCAAGUCGAACGGCCACACAGUAAGAUCUUGCUCUUACGGGUGGCGAGUGGCGGACGGGUGAGGAAUACAUCGGCAUCUUCUUUUUCGUGGGGGAUAACGUAGGGCAACUUCUGCUAAUACCGCAUACGUCCUACGGCUGAAAUCAGGUGUUCUUCGCACUUUUCGCGUUUCUAUUAGCCGAUGUCGGAUUAGCUAGUUGGCUUGGUAAAGGCCCACCAAGGCGACGAUCCGUAGCUGAUCUGAGAGGAUGAUCAGCCACACUGGAACUGAGACACGGUCCAGACUCCUACGGGAGGCAGCAGUAGGGAAUAUUGGACAAUGGGCGAAAGCCUGAUCCAGCCAUACCGCGUGGGUGAAGAAGGCCUUCGGGUUGUAAAGCCCUUUUGUUGGGAAAGAAAAGAAGCAGGAUAAUACCCCGAUGUUCUGACGGUACCCAAAGAAAAAGCACCGGCUAACUACGUG